This 1008-nucleotide ribosomal RNA is filed under the name uncultured Peziza. RNAcentral's name for it is "eukaryotic LSU rRNA". The stretch from base 564 to 1008 matches the Rfam family "Eukaryotic large subunit ribosomal RNA", at positions 1 to 433 of the family's 3401-position model. Lineage: Eukaryota; Fungi; Ascomycota; Pezizomycetes; Pezizales; Pezizaceae. The record is from RNAcentral.
AAGGCUCAUUAUUGAGAGCUUUUAUGCAUCAAACACCCCUUUGUCUAUUGUUUACAAUGUUACUUCCUCUAAAUGACCAAGAAUUGUGUAUACAAGUUGGUCCUCGAGUUUUGUGUUUCUUUGGGCACUAGCUAGGGAGCUGCCAGUGGAUAGAAUCCAAAUAAAAAAAUUCGUGAAGAAAUAUAUUGUCUGAAUUAUUAGUACAAAACAAAUAAAACUUUCAACAACGGAUCUCUAGGCUCUUGCAUCGAUGAAGAACGCAGUGAAAUGCGAUAAGUAAUGUGAAUUGCAGAAUCUCGUGAAUCAUCGAAUCUUUGAACGCACAUUGCGCCCUAUGGAAUUCUGUAGGGCAUGCCUGUCUGAGCGUCAGCAGCAAAAAAAAUCAAGAUCUUUGUAGGUAAAGAUUUGGAUUUGGUUAAGAGAUGUAAUCUGUGAAGAACCGGUUACUCUUUUGAAAUUUAAAGGCAGUAUUGAUCAAUCCAACUGUAAACGUGAUAAAACAUUUCGUUUUAUUGUUAGGAAUGAGCUUUUUGCUUGCCUAUAAACCCACUCAUCUUCAUGGUGGACCUCAGAUCAGGUAGGGAUACCCGCUGAACUUAAGCAUAUCAAUAAGCGGAGGACAAGAAACCAACAGGGAUUGCCUUAGUAACGGCGAGUGAAGCGGCAAAAGCUCAGAUUUGAAAUCUGUUGCCAUAGAGGCAUCCGAAUUGUAAUCUGUAGAGGAGUAUUUCGAGUAUGGCUUUGGCUUAAGUUCCUUGGAACAGGGCGUCAUAGAGGGUGAGAACCCCGUUUACGGCCUUUGUCUUAUGCUUAUGUGAAUCUCUUUCGAUGAGUCGAGUUGUUUGGGAUUGCAGCUCUUAAUGGGGUGGGUAAAUUUCCAUCUAAAGCUAAAUACUGGCAAGAGACCGAUAGCGCACAAGUAGAGUGAUCGAAAGAUGAAAAGAACUUCUGAACAGAGAGUUAAAUAGUACGUGAAAAUUGUUGAAAAGGGAAGCACUUACUACCAGA